Molecule: ribosomal RNA, 578 nt
Filed under: uncultured bacterium
Lineage: Bacteria
Description: partial 16S ribosomal RNA
Rfam family: Bacterial small subunit ribosomal RNA
Source: RNAcentral
UGGGGAAUUUUGGACAAUGGGGGAAACCCUGAUCCAGCCAUCCCGCGUGUGCGAUGAAGGCCUUCGGGUUGUAAAGCACUUUUGGCAGGAAAGAAACGUCGCGGGUUAAUACCCCGCGAAACUGACGGUACCUGCAGAAUAAGCACCGGCUAACUACGUGCCAGCAGCCGCGGUAAUACGUAGGGUGCAAGCGUUAAUCGGAAUUACUGGGCGUAAAGCGUGCGCAGGCGGUUCGGAAAGAAAGAUGUGAAAUCCCAGAGCUUAACUUUGGAACUGCAUUUUUAACUACCGGGCUAGAGUGUGUCAGAGGGAGGUGGAAUUCCGCGUGUAGCAGUGAAAUGCGUAGAUAUGCGGAGGAACACCGAUGGCGAAGGCAGCCUCCUGGGAUAACACUGACGCUCAUGCACGAAAGCGUGGGGAGCAAACAGGAUUAGAUACCCUGGUAGUCCACGCCCUAAACGAUGUCAACUAGCUGUUGGGGCCUUCGGGCCUUGGUAGCGCAGCUAACGCGUGAAGUUGACCGCCUGGGGAGUACGGUCGCAAGAUUAAAACUUAAAUGAAUUGACGGGGUCAUAGCU